Molecule: transfer RNA, 75 nt
Filed under: Yarrowia lipolytica CLIB122
Lineage: Eukaryota; Fungi; Ascomycota; Dipodascomycetes; Dipodascales
Description: tRNA YALI0_A06545r
Rfam family: tRNA
About the family: Transfer RNA (tRNA) molecules are approximately 80 nucleotides in length. Their secondary structure includes four short double-helical elements and three loops (D, anti-codon, and T loops). Further hydrogen bonds mediate the characteristic L-shaped molecular structure. tRNAs have two regions of fundamental functional importance: the anti-codon, which is responsible for specific mRNA codon recognition, and the 3' end, to which the tRNAs corresponding amino acid is attached (by aminoacyl-tRNA synthetases). tRNAs cope with the degeneracy of the genetic code in two manners: having more than one tRNA (with a specific anti-codon) for a particular amino acid; and 'wobble' base-pairing, i.e. permitting non-standard base-pairing at the 3rd anti-codon position.
Source: RNAcentral
GCCUGGCUAGCUCAAUCGGUAGAGCGUGAGACUCUUACAAUCUCAAGGCUGUGGGUUCAAGCCCCACGUCGGGCU